Long non-coding RNA from Equus caballus (horse), 3482 nucleotides. Lineage: Eukaryota; Metazoa; Chordata; Mammalia; Perissodactyla; Equidae. The record is from Ensembl.
CUUGAUGGGGAGGGAAGGGAUAGGUAUGCAAAACAGGGGCGGGUCGCCCUGCAGUUACCGGGCCGCGAGGGGUUACUCUCAGUCCCCACCCGCCAGGGGACAGAGGGACGUGUUUCAGAGCUGGGUGGGCUGCGCUGACACUAAGGGCUUGUCUGCCUGGCGCCCACGCUCGCUGGGAAUCGCCGGCGUGGCUGGGCGCCCCGGGGCUGCCACUUACGCCAGUGCCUGUGGCUCUGGGCUCCCAGCCCCCCUUCCCUGCCUGCGUCCCUGGGGGCAGCUCUGACAGUACCCCAAAGGGCAAGGGCCUCCGGGUGGUGACCUUUGGGGCAGGGCAGGGCAUGAGAGGCCAGAGGGACCGGAGCCCCUGGACUUUGCUAGGCCUGGUAAACAGCUGCCGAGAGGUAAAAACUCUGACGUCUGCGCCAGCACCCUCCUCCCCUCCCAGAGAGUGUGUGUGUUUGCGGGGGGAGGGGGUUGUGCACAGCCAACCGGGUCACUCGAGGGUGGAGAGUGGUGGACAGGCCGGGACUCGUUGCUGCCUGGGGCUCCCUGGAGCAGACAUCCCCCUGAAACCAGGAAUUCUCAGCCCACCCUUGAGCCAGGCUCCCAGAUCAGCCUGGCCCCUUUCCAAUCCUGGCCCCCAGCUUCAGUGAGCGCAGAACGGAAGUGCCCUGGAAGUCCUGGGUCCAGAAGUUGGCAGCAAAGCAUUACUUUGGCAAGGAGCACAUCUGGGCUGGUGUUCCGUGGGUCCAGAGAGGUGAGCUGUGUUCACAGCCAGGAGGUCACCGUGUCCCUGACCCAGCAUCCCAAUUUCCCUUUGAGGAGCCACUCUCUCCCCUUUCUCAAGCGACCUCGCCCUUCCGCUCCAGAGGGAGACCGGUCAGUCAGACCUGGCCAGCCAGCGUACUCCAUCCCGGCCGCCAUGGUGGUCCAAGCUGUCCAUGAGAGCCAGCCCUGGGGCUUGGGCAGGGACUGCUGAGAAGAGAAUUCCUCUAUUUGCCGCGCUUGUUGAGCUGGUCAGGUGUCAACUCGGAGCUGCUGGCGGCCAACUUGCCUGCCAACAGAGGGAAAACAGAGCCUAAAGAUGAUUUUCAAAGUGGCAUUUCAAAUUAGUGAGGACAGAAUGAGUUAUUCACUAAAAGGGACAAUUGGCUACACGUUUAGGGGAAAAUUAAGUCAGAUCUCUUCCUCAUAUCACAAACAGAAAUAGAUUCCAGUCGGAUGAAAGAAAAAAGGAUUAAAAUGUGAAGGUAGUGGAAGAAAAUGCAGGUUACUACUUAUUCAUAAAUUUGGGAAUGGGCAAAAUCUUCCUUAGCAUGACAUGAAAUCCAGAAGCCACAAAAAAACUAUUUGCAGAUUGGCUGCGUAAAAAUAGAAAACCAGGGGCCGGCCCUGUGGCAUGUUGUGGUUAAGUUCACAUGCUCCGCUUCGGUGGCUCGGGGUUUGUGGGUUCAGAUCCCGGGCACAGACCUAUGCACCGGUCAUCUAGCCACGCUCUGGUGGCAUCUCACAUACAAAAUAGGGGAAGAUUGGCAUAGAUGUUAGCUCGGUGACAAUCUUCCUCAAGCAAAAAGAGGAAGAUUGGCAACAGAUGUUAACUCAGGGCCAAUCUUCCUCACCAAAAAAAGAAAAAAAAAAAGAAAGAAGGAAAGAAAAAAAAGAGAAAAUCAUAUAGCCAAAGAUACCAUAGGAAAAACCUGCAUAACCAAAGAUACUGUAGAAAGGCUGACGACAACUGGGAGAAGGUGUUUGCAACAUUGCAAUGGACAGAUGUAAAUACCCCUAGUUACAAAGAGGUCUGACAAUCAAUAGGACAAAAAGAAAAGCCACUUAAACCCAAAUUGUGCAAAGGACAUGAAAGGAAGAAUGGUCAGCCAGACCAUUGUUCACCCUUUGAAGCACUGCUCAAAAGGCCACCUCAGGGACGGGAUUGGAAAUGAUGUCAGGCACGGACUGUUGAAGGAGUGGAGAACAUCAAGCCUAGAAGGAAACAGAUCAGAGCAGCACUGCCCAGUGAAACAUCAUGCCAGCCACAUACGCAAUUUUACAUUUUCUAAUAGCCACUUAAAAAAACAAAGCAAAAAGAAACGGAUGAAAUUGAUUUUCCUAAUUUUUUUUUGAGGAAGAUUAGCCCUGAGCUAACAUCCGCUGCCAAUCCCCCUCUUUUUGCUGAGGAAGACUGGCCCUGAGCUAAUAUCCAUGCCCAUCUUCCUCCACUUUAUAUGUGGGACAGCUGCCACAGCAUGGCUUGCCAAGUGAUGCCAUGUCCGCACCUGGGAUCGGAACCAGCGAACCCUGGACUGCCAAAGUGGAACGUGGCAAACUUAACCGCUGCGCCACCGGGCCGGCCCCUUCAUAAUAUUUUUUAUUUAACCGAUAUAGUGUCAUUUCAACAUUAAUCAAUGUAAAAUUAUUUAUUGGCUUUUGGGGCUACGUCUUGGAAAUCUGGUGUGUAUUUUUCGACACACCUCAAUUCGGGCCAGCCAUGUUUCGAGUGCUCGACAGUCGUAAAUGGUUGCUGGCUCCCAUAUGGGGCAGAACAGUGUUAGAAGAUGAGAGAAUGGACCACAGACCUGGGGCCGUGUCCUGGCUUUCUCAUUGGCUAGCCAUGUGACCUUUUGGAUUUUCCAUGUCUUCAUUUGAAAAACGGCACCAGAGGGCCGUGUGGGUUUUAAAUGGAAUCCACAUACGGCAUUCAGCUCACCAGCUGCCACAGAGUUGAGAGCAGACCAGCUGUUUAUUUGCAGUUACUAAUUAUUACCCAAAUAGCUGGUAAGUCCGUAAGCACAGUGGACAAGACAAAGACCAACAUGUAAAAACGGCGGGGCGUUAGAUUUUAAUUCAGCAUAAGAAAAAUCUCACUUUCCAAUGCUGUGGCUGCCGGCCCCACGUGGCUGUGAAGCGCCAGUGUCAAUAGUCGGACAGAGAAAUGCUGAAGUGUAAAAUCCACAUCGGAUUUCCAAGCUUCGUGCAAAAGAUAGAAUAUAAAACAUCUCGCUAAGUGUUUUCAUGUUGAUUGCAUGCUGAAAUGAUCACAUUUUGGAUACAUCAGGUUAAAGAAAAUAUACUAUUAAAAUUCAUUUCGCUUGUUUCUUUCUACUUUUUAAAAAAACAUGAAUGUAUUCACAUUAUAUUUCUGUUGGAGAGCACUGAUGUAGAACUCUGCAGGAAUGGGAUAGACUACUUUGUGGAGUAGUGAGUUCCCCAUUCUGGGAGUGAUUCAAGCUGAGGAUGGAUGACUGGGAAGUAGGGAUGGUGCACGAUGACUUCAGAGUUGGGGAUUUGUGGGUUUCUUCAGUCCGGGUCUCCUAGCCAUGCACGGGCUUCUGGGGCCACAGCUCAGCGCGUGGCUGGAAGGCAGCUGACCGUCUGCCUGGAAGUGGCCUAAAAAGCGGUGCUCACUCCCCGACAGCAGCACUCAGCUCUUCCAAACAGGAGUCCAGCAUGACUGGACUGUUGGCUCAGGCGGCAGCUACUGGCCA